RNAcentral lists this ribosomal RNA (253 nucleotides) under uncultured bacterium. RNAcentral describes it as "partial 16S ribosomal RNA". It matches the Rfam family "Bacterial small subunit ribosomal RNA", at positions 524 to 776 of the family's 1533-position model. The record is from RNAcentral.
GACGAACCGUGCGAACGUUAUUCGGAAUCACUGGGCUUAAAGGGCGCGUAGGCGGGCCACCAAGUCAGGGGUGAAAUCCCACGGCUCAACCGUGGAAGUGCCCUUGAUACUGGUGGCCUCGAGGGAGGUAGGGGCGUGCGGAACUUCCGGUGGAGCGGUGAAAUGCGUAGAUAUCGGAAGGAACACCGGUGGCGAAAGCGGCGCGCUGGACCUCUUCUGACGCUGAGGCGCGAAAGCCAGGGGAGCAAACGGG